Molecule: ribosomal RNA, 134 nt
Filed under: Staphylococcus arlettae
Lineage: Bacteria; Bacillati; Bacillota; Bacilli; Caryophanales; Staphylococcaceae
Description: partial 23S ribosomal RNA
Rfam family: Bacterial large subunit ribosomal RNA
Source: RNAcentral
CCCUCAAGAUGAGAUUUCCCAACUUCGGUUAUAAGAUCCCUCAAAGAUGAUGAGGUUAAUAGGUUCGAGGUGGAAGCAUAGUGAUAUGUGGAGCUGACGAAUACUAAUCGAUCGAAGACUUAAUCAAUUUUAAU